CUACGGGUCGCUCCAGUGAGGAAUAUUGCACAAUGGGGGGAACCCUGAUGCAGCAACGCCGCGUGGAGGAUGACGCAUUUCGGUGUGUAAACUCCUUUUAUAUGUCAAGAAAAUGACGGUAGCAUAUGAAUAAGCACCGGCUAACUCCGUGCCAGCAGCCGCGGUAAUACGGGAGGGUGCAAGCGUUACUCGGAAUCACUGGGCGUAAAGGACGCGUAGGCGGGUUGAAAAGUCAGGUGUGAAAGCCUACAGCUUAACUGUAGAACUGCACUUGAAACUCUCAAUCUAGAGUAUGGGAGGGGCAGAUGGAAUUAGUGGUGUAGGGGUAAAAUCCGUAGAUAUCACUAGGAAUACCUAAAGCGAAGGCGAUCUGCUGGAACAUUACUGACGCUAAGGCGUGAAAGCGUGGGGAGCAAACAGGAUUAGAUACCCUCGUAGUC
Molecule: ribosomal RNA, 440 nt
Filed under: uncultured bacterium
Lineage: Bacteria
Description: partial 16S ribosomal RNA
Rfam family: Bacterial small subunit ribosomal RNA
Source: RNAcentral